AACGAACGCUGGCGGCAGGCCUAACACAUGCAAGUCGAGCGAGGACUUCGGUUCUAGCGGCGGACGGGUGAGUAACGCGUGGGAAUGUGCCCUUCUCUACGGAAUAGCCCUGGGAAACUGGGAGUAAUACCGUAUACGCCCUAUUGGGGAAAGAUUUAUCGGAGAAGGAUCAGCCCGCGUUGGAUUAGGUAGUUGGUGGGGUAAUGGCCUACCAAGCCGACGAUCCAUAGCUGGUUUGAGAGGAUGAUCAGCCACACUGGGACUGAGACACGGCCCAGACUCCUACGGGAGGCAGCAGUGGGGAAUCUUAGACAAUGGGGGCAACCCUGAUCUAGCCAUGCCGCGUGAGUGAUGAAGGCCUUAGGGUUGUAAAGCUCUUUCAGCUGGGAAGGUAAUGACGGUACCAGCAGAAGAAGCCCCGGCUAACUCCGUG
Molecule: ribosomal RNA, 433 nt
Filed under: uncultured bacterium
Lineage: Bacteria
Description: partial 16S ribosomal RNA
Rfam family: Bacterial small subunit ribosomal RNA
Source: RNAcentral